UCCAAGCCAGUGGUCCAACAAAGCUAGUAUGCCCAAGUAGUAUCUUUGAGGAAGUGUAAGCAGCGUUAGUUUUAUCCAAAGACCAGAACCUGAUGGUUCGGUCUCUUGAUGAAGUUGCUAUUCCAUCAUUCUCACAAACACAUAUACCACGAACGUCAUCUUCAUGACCUCGAAGCUGGCAGCGCAAUCGGUACUCAACGAAGUCGAUGUCCAUAGCCAUGGCAGAUGAGAUAGAUAUAGAGAGAGAAUGUGUUAGGGUUUGUGGAUGGAUGAAGCAAUCGGAUUAACCGUUGUCUCCGGUGAGAUGGGCCGUUUAUAGGUUUGUAAGUUCUAAGAUCGCUUGUUCCCCAAGUUGUGCUUCUUGUGUGAUAUGUAACAGAGCACAAUCUAAGAUGGGUUCUUCUUCAAUUUUCUUAAAUUUUGUUUUUUGAUAUUGGGGUCAGUCAAUUGUUCUUAAAGUUAUGUUCUUUGUGAAGAAUAAAUACGAUUUGAGAUGGGUAUUUGCAUAAAGAUGGAAGCUUUGAGGUUUUUAUCUUGCUCAGUUUUUAAGGUUUAA
Molecule: long non-coding RNA, 556 nt
Filed under: Helianthus annuus (common sunflower)
Lineage: Eukaryota; Viridiplantae; Streptophyta; Magnoliopsida; Asterales; Asteraceae
Description: hypothetical non coding rna
Source: RNAcentral